Molecule: ribosomal RNA, 1346 nt
Filed under: uncultured bacterium
Lineage: Bacteria
Description: partial 16S ribosomal RNA
Rfam family: Bacterial small subunit ribosomal RNA
Source: RNAcentral
GACGAACGCUGGCGGCGUGCUUAACACAUGCAAGUCGAACGGAAAGGCCCUGCUUUUGUGGGGUGCUCGAGUGGCGAACGGGUGAGUAACACGUGAGUAACCUGCCCUUGACUUUGGGAUAACUUCAGGAAACUGGGGCUAAUACCGGAUAGGAGCUCCUGCUGCAUGGUGGGGGUUGGAAAGUUUCGGCGGUUGGGGAUGGACUCGCGGCUUAUCAGCUUGUUGGUGGGGUAGUGGCUUACCAAGGCUUUGACGGGUAGCCGGCCUGAGAGGGUGACCGGCCACAUUGGGACUGAGAUACGGCCCAGACUCCUACGGGAGGCAGCAGUGGGGAAUAUUGCACAAUGGGCGGAAGCCUGAUGCAGCAACGCCGCGUGCGGGAUGACGGCCUUCGGGUUGUAAACCGCUUUCGCCUGUGACGAAGCGUGAGUGACGGUAAUGGGUAAAGAAGCACCGGCUAACUACGUGCCAGCAGCCGCGGUGAUACGUAGGGUGCGAGCGUUGUCCGGAUUUAUUGGGCGUAAAGGGCUCGUAGGUGGUUGAUCGCGUCGGAAGUGUAAUCUUGGGGCUUAACCCUGAGCGUGCUUUCGAUACGGGUUGACUUGAGGAAGGUAGGGGAGAAUGGAAUUCCUGGUGGAGCGGUGGAAUGCGCAGAUAUCAGGAGGAACACCAGUGGCGAAGGCGGUUCUCUGGGCCUUUCCUGACGCUGAGGAGCGAAAGCGUGGGGAGCGAACAGGCUUAGAUACCCUGGUAGUCCACGCUGUAAACGGUGGGUACUAGGUGUGGGGUCCAUUCCACGGGUUCCGUGCCGUAGCUAACGCUUUAAGUACCCCGCCUGGGGAGUACGGCCGCAAGGCUAAAACUCAAAGGAAUUGACGGGGCCCCGCACAAGCGGCGGAGCAUGCGGAUUAAUUCGAUGCAACGCGUAGAACCUUACCUGGGUUUGACAUGGAUCGGGAGUGCUCAGAGAUGGGUGUGCCUCUUUUGGGGUCGGUUCACAGGUGGUGCAUGGCUGUCGUCAGCUCGUGUCGUGAGAUGUUGGGUUAAGUCCCGCAACGAGCGCAACCCUUGUUCACUGUUGCCAGCACGUUAUGGUGGGGACUCAGUGGAGACCGCCGGGGUCAACUCGGAGGAAGGUGGGGAUGACGUCAAGCCAUCAUGCCCCUUAUGUCCAGGGCUUCACGCAUGCUACAAUGGCUGGUACAGAGAGUGGCGAGCCUGUGAGGGUGAGCGAAUCUCGGAAAGCCGGUCUCAGUUCGGAUUGGGGUCUGCAACUCGACCUCAUGAAGUCGGAGUCGCUAGUAAUCGCAGAUCAGCAACGCUGCGGUGAAUACGUUCCCGGGGCA